UGGGGAAUUUUCCGCAAUGGGCGAAAGCCUGACCGAGCAAUGCCGCGUGCGGGAUGAAGGCCCUCGGGUUGUAAACCGCAAAAGUGAGGAGGAAGGGCCCGUGAAGAGCGGGUCUUGACCGAUCCACAGUAAGGACGGGCUAAGUUCGUGCCAGCAGCCGCGGUAACACGAACCGUCCAAACGUUAUUCGGAAUCAUUGGGCUUAAAGGGUGCGUAGGCGGCCUAUUAAGUCGGGUGUGAAAUCCCACGGCUCAACCGUGGAACUGCGCCCGAUACUGAUAGGCUAGAGGGAGACAGGGGUGAGCGGAACUGAUGGUGGAGCGGUGAAAUGCGUUGAUAUCAUCAGGAACACCGGUGGCGAAAGCGGCUCACUGGGUCUCUUCUGACGCUGAGGCACGAAAGCCAGGGUAGCGAACGGGAUUAGAUACCCGCGUAGUCC
Molecule: ribosomal RNA, 439 nt
Filed under: uncultured prokaryote
Description: bacterial SSU rRNA
Rfam family: Bacterial small subunit ribosomal RNA
Source: RNAcentral